GCUCAGCACGGGGCCACGGCGCAGUUGCUACUCAGACACGGGGAUGCUCGCAAUGCCUCUAUCAAAGACGCGUCGCACUGUGUUGUUAUGUGUUGUCAUAGUUAUUUCAUUGAAAAAUUAAUUUCACCGUUUUCGAAACUUGCACCGAUUUCUGUCUGUGAAACACAAAGUCUGAACAACUCCUCUUAAGUUUUGCCGAAUCCAAAAAUAGAAAAAAGAAAAAAAGAACAAAAAAAAGAAAAAGAUUAAGCAAAAAAAAAAAGAAAAAGAGAAUAGACUCGAUUAUUUAGAAAACUUACUUUCGAACGUGAUUCGUUUCAAAAUUACGACGAAUAAGAAGACGACGAGGAAGAAAAAAAGAAGAAAUAGGAAACCAAGAAAAAAUAUUAAAAAAGCACAAAAAAAAGAGAAGAAACGAAAUUUAAAACAAAAGCAUUGCCUUAAGGAAGAAGGAGAGUAAUUAAUACCUACACCGUCGAAGGAGCAAACGAGAGACAAAGGGGGGAUAAAAAAAGGAAACAAAAAAAAACACUUUAGACGUCUACAAAGUAAAUUGUAAAGAAAUGACUAAAGUAUAUUUUUAACAAGUUUUGAGAAAACUUUAGAUUUUAAACGUAAAUUUUAAAAGCGAAAAAUGAAAAAAAAUCAUAAAAUUCUUAAUAAUUAAAAAUGUGAUCUAAAAGUCGUUGCUACCAAGAGAAGCCUUAUGUCCUUGUUUCAAUUAGUUCGGUUCCAAACCUUCGAGCGGGAGACGCGUUACAGCGAGAAAUUCCCGCGCAGGAGAGGAAGACUGGACAAAGCGGAAGAAGCAGAAUAGGACGAGCAA
This is a long non-coding RNA of Polistes dominula (European paper wasp), 826 nucleotides long. RefSeq lists it as uncharacterized. Lineage: Eukaryota; Metazoa; Arthropoda; Insecta; Hymenoptera; Vespidae. The record is from RefSeq and is a predicted model, not a curated record.